RNAcentral lists this long non-coding RNA (209 nucleotides) under Lathyrus oleraceus (garden pea). Its description in RNAcentral is "Pisum sativum (pea) long non-coding RNA (PSAT_LNC032122)". The record is from RNAcentral. Lineage: Eukaryota; Viridiplantae; Streptophyta; Magnoliopsida; Fabales; Fabaceae.
UCCUCACAAGCUCUCUCUCUGGCUGGAGACGAAAACAAAAACAAAAAAAAGAGAAAAAGAGAAAAAGAUGAUAUUUCCUCUUCUUCGAGAGGCACUCUUCUUCUUCUGCAGAAAAGAAGAAGACGGUUCUUCUCCUUCUUCACAUCCAAACCACCGCAGCUCACCUCACUUUCAUCUCCGUCAACUGUCACACUUCUCAUACUCCACAC